GUAAUGCAGAAGAGAAUUCAAAGGAUUCAAAGCUAUAAAUAGCAGACGUUCGAUGGAUAAUACGCAAUGUAUGUUUACUUAUCGAAACGUACACUAGAAAGAUUAAAGAAAAGUCAAGAAGUAGCGCAUUAUUUCAAUCGUCGUAACGGUAACGAUAACGGAUAUAAUUCUCGCUUGUAUUGUUGGUUUGCGCAUAUAGAAUACAUGUACUUGCAUUGGGAAGCAGAAAAUAAUAUAAAAGAGGGCUCUUAAACUUGGUGAAAAAAGUAACAGAAAUUGUGGAAAUGACCUAUUACCAGUGAUAUUUGUACGUCCGAACAGCAUACUACAGCGUGUGGAGAGAAUAUACGCAAAGUAAUACAUAAGUAGUUUGAAAUUAGUAAGGUUCUGUCACACAGCAUAAUAAUGGCAUUUCUUCAUGGUUUCUUAAUGAUCGUUCUAAUAAUCAUCAAUAUAUUUACACUGGGAAUAUCGGACAGCUUUGAAAGAUCCCCAAAGUUCACCGCCAACCAUCCUAUAUUUCGGCGACAUUAUACGUAUCCAACUACAUCAAAAAUUGCAUCAACACCUCUGAUAUACACUACUCCACGUAUUAUAGAUACUUUUGCAAAAAGUGAGGUGAAAUGCCCAAAUGGACAAAAGAAAGACUCACAAGGAAUAUGUCGCGAACGGGCAUAAUCGUAAAAUAUGUAAACAGCACGUAAGCACAAAAGUAUUGAUAACUUUUAUGAUACCAUCAUGAACUAACACAGAUAAUAAUAUAAGAGAUAAUUCAAGAGAUUUAGGAUAAUAUGUAGCGACCCACAGAUGUAUGAAUAAAUAUAAAUAAACAUGAUUAAUGUCAA
Molecule: long non-coding RNA, 845 nt
Organism: Odontomachus brunneus
Lineage: Eukaryota; Metazoa; Arthropoda; Insecta; Hymenoptera; Formicidae
Exons: 4
Source: RefSeq, a predicted model, not a curated record